GGGGAUGUAGUUCUGUGGUUGAGUGCUUGCCUAACAUGUAUGAGGCCAUGGGUUCAAUCCCCUUCACUGCCA
RNAcentral lists this transfer RNA (72 nucleotides) under Heterocephalus glaber (naked mole-rat). It matches the Rfam family "tRNA". From Rfam's summary of the family: Transfer RNA (tRNA) molecules are approximately 80 nucleotides in length. Their secondary structure includes four short double-helical elements and three loops (D, anti-codon, and T loops). Lineage: Eukaryota; Metazoa; Chordata; Mammalia; Rodentia; Bathyergidae. The record is from Rfam by way of RNAcentral.